Molecule: ribosomal RNA, 274 nt
Filed under: uncultured bacterium
Lineage: Bacteria
Description: partial 16S ribosomal RNA
Rfam family: Archaeal small subunit ribosomal RNA
Source: RNAcentral
AAACCAGCACCUCAAGUGGUCAGGAGGAUUAUUGGGCCUAAAGCAUCCGUAGCCUGUUCUGUAAGUUUUCGGUUAAAUCCAUUAGCUCAACUAAUGGGCCGCCGAAAAUACUGCAUAACUAGGGAGUGGGAGAGGUAGACGGUACUCGGUAGGAAGGGGUAAAAUCCUUUGAUCUAUUGAUGACCACCUGUGGCGAAGGCGGUCUACCAGAACACGCUCGACGGUGAGGGAUGAAAGCUGGGGGAGCAAACCGGAUUAGAAACCCGAGUAGUCC